GUUGCUUUGAUCAAAGCUCUUGUUGUUCCUUUCUAUUUUUUCGCAGUUAAAAAGUGUCUUAAUUUCAAGUCUUUUUUUUUUUUUAGUUUUUUUCUCAUCUACGGCUAAGUAAUUUUAAGUGUAUUGUGAUGUUACGCAUUUUACUAAAAGCCUCAUGGUUUAGUAAUUUUAAGCUAAAGGCAGAAACACUUCAACGAGAAUACCUUUAGGUAUAAAAUCGAUAAGAUAAUAAUGAUUAAAAUAUGAUCAUUAACGAAAAUUUCUAAUUACUUUACAAUGCCGUUAAAACCAGUUUCAAUCAUACCAAAUGAAAGCAUGCAACUGAAGAAAGAUAACCGCCGCCAUGACUAUCUCUUCGCUUAGAAUCUUUACUGAUGGUAAAGAUUCUAAGAUGUCGACGAAAAAAAAGAGAGGCCGAAACAAUCCUUAUCGAUUAAUUAAAUGAAAAAGGAAUUCAUUAAUAAACGAGAAGCAGAAAUAAACGAUGACCAUUGUCUUUUGCUUUGUCAGCGGAUUGCUGUGGAGGCGGAAUGAAGUCACAGCCAAAGAACAGCUCAGCAAUUUUCUGUCACAGAUCUACGUUCGUACAUAUUACAAGCAUUGAAUGGCAAAAUUGCAUAAACGGCUUCUUUUCACAAAAAAAAAAAAAAAAAAAAAAACCGAAAAAAAACAAAAAAAAAGGAAAAAUGUCGAAUUCCAGAAGCUAUUGCACAAACAGUUGUAUUAAUGCGAUUCCAUUGAUAUUAUCGACAACUUAUGCUGAAAUUCCAUGAGUAUAAAAUUAAGAGGACACAACAAUGCCGUAUGCGUUUGCUUAUAUAUAUAUAUAUAUAUGCAUAUGUAUAUAUAUAUAUGUGUGUGUGCUUCAUAAGAAGAGAAGAUCAGAGGACAGACGGUAUUUAUAUGAAAUCUAUAUGUUUGUAUAGAGAAAGAUAUGGAUGCGUGGUCAUCAACUAACCAAUAACAAAUACUAAAAUUAUACAUGUAUAUAUAGUGUAUAAUCUGUGGCCAAAGCCUAAAGGAAAACUUAACAAAGAAUACCACAUAAGAUUCUUGUCGAACUCGAACAGUCACAAACAGCAAUCCGUAACUGCGUGCGUUGUUGGCGGCAUUCAGAAGCUGCAACGUAUUCAAACUCGGCCCAACAUAACGCACAUUGUCCUGAAUGCUUUGGUGUGUGCCCGACACGCAUUACACAUCGCACGUGGCCCGUUCACUUUGAACCUUUGAAAUUAACAAAAAUCAUCAAAAAUAUGCAGCCGCAUUCCCAUGAAAGUUACUGAAUGCAAUACGAUCACAGUCAACUAAACAAAUAAACAAAUAAACAAACAAAUAAACAAACAAACAAACAAACAAACAAGUAAGCAAGUAACUACAGCAACAACAGCGCAAAAGUAAACAAAAUAACUACCGAUGCACACACAAUCUUAAUACCAAAGCAGCAGCAAAGCCAUCAGCCAGCUACUCUACUACUACAGGUUCCCAAUUUUCCAUCCAUUUGUGGUUGCGGUAGUCCGUGUACUGCCGCAAUAUAAAAAUACGAGAAAAAACAAAAAAAAAAAAAAA
Glossina fuscipes is the source of this 1566-nucleotide long non-coding RNA. RefSeq lists it as uncharacterized. The record is from RefSeq and is a predicted model, not a curated record. The transcript has 3 exons. Lineage: Eukaryota; Metazoa; Arthropoda; Insecta; Diptera; Glossinidae.